AAGGAUCAUUGUCGUAACCUGCGAGGUAGACCGCGAACACGUGCUAAACGUCGCCGCGUGCACGGGGAGGGAGGACGUGUCCCCCCGCAUCCGUGCUCUCGGCACCACCCCGUCGGCGCGUGCGUCGUGCGGGCUAACGAACCCCGGCGCGGAAUGCGCCAAGGAAAACCGAAAACGAAGCGCCCUCCACCGCUCGAGCACCGUCCGCGGAGCGCUUCGAGCGGAUGGAAGGGUACGCCUCACGUGAGAAUGUCAAAACGACUCUCGGCAACGGAUAUCUAGGCUCUCGCAUCGAUGAAGAACGCAGCGUAGCCAGCAUCAAUGUGGAAGUAAAAGUCGUAACAAG
RNAcentral lists this unclassified non-coding RNA (346 nucleotides) under uncultured fungus. RNAcentral describes it as "partial contains 18S rRNA, ITS1, 5.8S rRNA, ITS2 and 28S rRNA". The record is from RNAcentral. Lineage: Eukaryota; Fungi.